RNAcentral lists this transfer-messenger RNA (368 nucleotides) under Mycobacterium tuberculosis. Its description in RNAcentral is "Standard tmRNA". It matches the Rfam family "transfer-messenger RNA". Rfam says of the family: Bacterial tmRNA, also known as 10Sa RNA or SsrA, is named for its dual tRNA and mRNA-like properties. The record is from RNAcentral. Lineage: Bacteria; Bacillati; Actinomycetota; Actinomycetes; Mycobacteriales; Mycobacteriaceae.
GGGGCUGAACGGUUUCGACUUCGCGCAUCGAAUCAAGGGAAGCGUGCCGGUGCAGGCAAGAGACCACCGUAAGCGUCGUUGCGACCAAAUAAGCGCCGAUUCACAUCAGCGCGACUACGCUCUCGCUGCCUAAGCGACGGCUAGUCUGUCAGACCGGGAACGCCCUCGGCCCGGACCCUGGCAUCAGCUAGAGGGAUCCACCGAUGAGUCCGGUCGCGGGACUCCUUGGGACAACCACAGCGACUGGGAUCGUCAUCUCGGCUAGUUCGCGUGACCGGGAGAUCCGAGCAGAGGCAUAGCGAACUGCGCACGGAGAAGCCUUGAGGGAAUGCCGUAGGACCCGGGUUCGAUUCCCGGCAGCUCCACCG